This 107-nucleotide ribosomal RNA is filed under the name Naegleria gruberi. Lineage: Eukaryota; Heterolobosea; Eutetramitea; Acrasida; Naegleriidae. The record is from RNAcentral.
GGCUACGGCCAUAUCACGAUGAAUGCACCUCAUCCCGUCCGAUUUAUCGUCGAGCCACAUCAGUACUGAGGUUGGAGACAACUUGGGAACCUGUGGUGCUGUAGUCU